This 253-nucleotide ribosomal RNA is filed under the name uncultured bacterium. RNAcentral's name for it is "partial 16S ribosomal RNA". It matches the Rfam family "Bacterial small subunit ribosomal RNA", at positions 524 to 776 of the family's 1533-position model. The record is from RNAcentral.
GACAGAGGGUGCAAACGUUGUUCGGAAUUACUGGGCGUAAAGCGCGUGUAGGCGGCCCGGAAAGUCGGAUGUGAAAGCCCUGGGCUUAACCUAGGAAGUGCAUUCGAAACUGCCGGGCUUGAGUUCUGGAGAGGAAGGCGGAAUUCUCGGUGUAGAGGUGAAAUUCGUAGAUAUCAGGAGGAACGCCGGAGGCGAAAGCGAGUGACUGGCGCGUUCCUGACGCUGAGGUGCGAAAGCUAGGGGAGCAAACAGG